This 433-nucleotide ribosomal RNA is filed under the name uncultured bacterium. RNAcentral's name for it is "partial 16S ribosomal RNA". It matches the Rfam family "Bacterial small subunit ribosomal RNA", at positions 29 to 507 of the family's 1533-position model. The record is from RNAcentral.
AACGAACGCUGGCGGCAUGCCUAACACAUGCAAGUCGAACGAGACCUUCGGGUCUAGUGGCGCACGGGUGCGUAACGCGUGGGAACCUGCCCUUAGGUUCGGAAUAACUCCCCGAAAGGGGUGCUAAUACCGGAUAAUGUCUUCGGACCAAAGAUUUAUCGCCUUUGGAUGGGCCCGCGUUGGAUUAGCUAGUUGGUAGGGUAAAAGCCUACCAAGGCGACGAUCCAUAGCUGGUCUGAGAGGAUGAUCAGCCACACUGGGACUGAGACACGGCCCAGACUACUACGGGAGGCAGGAGUGGGGGAUAUUGGAAAAUGGGGGAAGUGCUGAACGAGCUAUGCCGGGUGAGUGAUGAAGGCCGGAGAGUAGUAAAGCUCUUUUACACGGGAUGAUAAUGACAGUACCGGGAGAAUAAGCUCCGGCUAACUCCGUG